This 253-nucleotide ribosomal RNA is filed under the name uncultured bacterium. Its description in RNAcentral is "partial 16S ribosomal RNA". It matches the Rfam family "Bacterial small subunit ribosomal RNA", at positions 524 to 776 of the family's 1533-position model. The record is from RNAcentral.
UACGUAGGGCGCAAGCGUUAUCCGGAGUUAUUGGGCUUAAAGCGUGUGUAGGCGGAUCUGUAAGUACCUUGUGAAAUCCCACGGCUCAACCGUGGAACUGCUUGGUAUACUGCGGGUCUUGAGCCACCUAGGGGCAAGUGGAACAAACGGUGGAGCGGUGAAAUGCGUAGAUAUCGUUUGGAACGCCAAUGGUGAAAACAACUUGCUGGGGGUGUGCUGACGCUGAGACACGAAAGCCAGGGGAGCAAACGGG